Molecule: long non-coding RNA, 641 nt
Filed under: Cottoperca gobio
Lineage: Eukaryota; Metazoa; Chordata; Actinopteri; Perciformes; Bovichtidae
Description: lncRNA (ENSCGOG00000007193.1)
Source: RNAcentral
GGUGCUUUACUCUCCCUGUAAUAACAGGUAACUUCAGUUUUAGAAUACAUUUCAUAUACUAUUGAUUUUGGACGUUCUAAAAUACCUCACGUACUGUUUUAACAUAGUGUUAGCUAAUGCUAAUAAGAAAUACUAAGCUAACGUCAACCAAGACAGAGGGAACAGCCCAGUUAUCUCAGCAACAACUUAACAAACAGAGAAGUUACAUGAAGGUUUGAAUGAAGUUGUCACACCUCAUCAAAGCCUCGUCGUCCCUGGAGGCUUCGACUCCCUUAGCGCUGGCUGCAGGCGUGCUAACGUUAGCUGCCGCUCUCAGGCCACAAACAUGUAUUUUAUGUUUGACCAGGUGUUUCUCAGGUUAGACCUGUUGCCCUGACAGCUUUGCAUUUCGCGUUACAAACAUUGUGUGUGUUUGUGUGUGUGUAGAGCCUGUGCAUUGAGAACGCCUGCAUCGCUGCUCAUGAUAAGGCAGGACGCUACGCCGCGAUGUUCACCGUGGACAAAGUCCUAACCCCACCCAUGGGCACCAUCAUGGACGUCCUGAAGGCAGACGACCGCUUCAGCCUGCUGGUCGGAGCCGUGCAGACUGCCGGGAUGACGGAACUGCUGAACCAGCAGUUGGCGCUCACCUUCUUCGCUCC